RNAcentral lists this ribosomal RNA (150 nucleotides) under uncultured bacterium. Its description in RNAcentral is "partial 16S ribosomal RNA". It matches the Rfam family "Bacterial small subunit ribosomal RNA", at positions 355 to 509 of the family's 1533-position model. The record is from RNAcentral.
UGGGGGAUAUUGCACAAUGGGGGAAACCCUGAUGCAGCGACGCCGCGUGGGUGAAGGAGCACUUCGGUGCGUAAAGCCCUAUCGGCAGGGAAGAAAAGGGGGGAAACCCCAGACGGUACCUGACUAAGAAGCCCCGGCUAACUACGUGCC